Molecule: ribosomal RNA, 253 nt
Filed under: uncultured prokaryote
Description: partial 16S ribosomal RNA
Rfam family: Bacterial small subunit ribosomal RNA
Source: RNAcentral
ACGAAGGGGGCUAGCGUUGUUCGGAUUUACUGGGCGUAAAGCGCACGUAGGCGGAUCGUUAAGUCGGGGGUGAAAUCCUGGAGCUCAACUCCAGAACUGCCUUCGAUACUGGCGAUCUCGAGACCGGAAGAGGUGAGUGGAACUCCUAGUGUAGAGGUGGAAUUCGUAGAUAUUAGGAAGAACACCAGUGGCGAAGGCGACUUUCUGGUCUGUAACUGACGCUGAGGCGCGAAAGCGUGGGGAGCAAACAGGA